CGCGUAGGCGGCUUGUACAGUCAGACGUGAAAUUCCUGGGCUCAACCUGGGGGCUGCGUUUGAUACGUGUGGGCUUGAGUUCGGAAGAGGGUCGUGGAAUUCCCAGUGUAGAGGUGAAAUUCGUAGAUAUUGGGAAGAACACCGGUGGCGAAGGCGGCGACCUGGUCCGAUACUGACGCUGAGGCGCGAAAGCGUGGGGAGAAC
RNAcentral lists this ribosomal RNA (204 nucleotides) under uncultured bacterium. Its description in RNAcentral is "partial 16S ribosomal RNA". It matches the Rfam family "Bacterial small subunit ribosomal RNA", at positions 568 to 771 of the family's 1533-position model. The record is from RNAcentral.